Prosopis cineraria is the source of this 1128-nucleotide long non-coding RNA. RefSeq lists it as uncharacterized. The record is from RefSeq and is a predicted model, not a curated record. The transcript is spliced from 6 exons. NCBI's taxonomy places the organism in Eukaryota, Viridiplantae, Streptophyta, Magnoliopsida, Fabales, Fabaceae.
CCACAAUUUCUCCAUAUGGAUUCCAACGAGAUAUUUCGCUUACAGAAGAUUAUUAAACAUGUAAACAAAGUAUACGGGUUUUCCUUCGCUCCAAAUCCAGUGUGCAGUAUAACGGCAGGGCAACUGUGUUAGUAUUUACUAUGCAGUUCAUUUUCGAUAGGAAAGAACUACUAACAGCGUUAUUUGAAUCUUCAGUCAUCAACACUCUCAUAUUGGAAAUGACCUAGAUGAAAACAUCGAUAAGGUUUUCUGAAGAAACUCACAUCAGGUGACACGCUAUGCGUUCCAUACUUGUCAUCCCAGUACAUUGUGCUAAUCCGAUACAACUGCUGGAUGCUGAGGACCUGUAAAUAGUGCAAUGAGGUUGGGACUCGUUCAGUGUUUUCUUAGGUUUCUGGUGUAUGACCUGAACGAAGGGCAGAAAAGAUGAGAUGCUAUAUGUGCUAUCUUAGCAUCAGAACAAGUGCUACGCAGGUCAGAAAGAUACCAGAAAUCCAAUCGCCUGUCUGAUAUGCUUCAGCUCAUCCCACGCUGAACCUGCAUACUGCAUCAUUUUUGGGAGUGGGAAGGGGGCAGGGAAAAUGGGAGUAAGCUGCUGUUUGAAAAGCAAAGCUGGGUACUUGGCUUCGACUUGUCGUAAUGUGUCUACACCACCGCUUAUGCUACCAUUGAUUAAGGAGAGAUUAACUCCUGUUGGGGUUCCACGGAAACUCUGAAACAACAAGGAUAAUUAUCUGGAGCGUGAAAGCUUCUCUACAGGUAUACAAGUGAACGAGGAAAUAAUGACACCUUAAAACGGGAAGCUAUUGAAGAAAACUUCGACGACUUAGAUGUCUCUUCUGGAAGAGGAGGAAAAAGACCUGCUACGAAAGGACAUUUGGAAGCACUCAACAAAUCUUGAUGUUCAGGAACCACGUAAUCUUUAUUUUUAUCUAAAAACUGGUCCGACUGGUAUAAGACCUGCCCAUUUUAUGAGUGUAAAAAGCAAUAAGCCAAAAUGUGUCAUUUCUUAAGCAUUUUACGUGAUGAUAAUUAGUCAUACCUCCCCAGCAUAAUGAGCAAUGGUGAAAUCUGUUCGAGACAAUUUUGGCUUUAUAAAACGCUUGUGAGUCUUGAAUGAUUGAUAAA